RNAcentral lists this ribosomal RNA (553 nucleotides) under uncultured bacterium. RNAcentral's name for it is "bacterial SSU rRNA". It matches the Rfam family "Bacterial small subunit ribosomal RNA", at positions 567 to 1116 of the family's 1533-position model. The record is from RNAcentral.
GUUCGUAGGUGGUGCGGCAAGUUGGGAGUGAAAUCUCUGGGCUUAACCCAGAGGCUGCUUUCAAAACUGCCGUGCUCGAGUGCGAGAGAGGUCAGUGGAAUUGCAGGUGUAGCGGUGAAAUGCGUAGAUAUCUGCAGGAACACCCGUGGCGAAGGCGGCUGACUGGAUCGCAACUGACACUGAGGAACGAAAGCUAGGGGAGCAAACAGGAUUAGAUACCCUGGUAGUCCUAGCCCUAAACCAUCAGGACUUGGGGUGGCCCGCGUAGGCGGGUCGUCCCGUAGCUAACGCGUUAAGUCCUGCGCCUGGGGAGUACGGUCGCAAGACUGAAACUCAAAGGAAUUGACGGGGGCCCGCACAAGCGGUGGAACAUGUGGUUCAAUUCGACGCAACGCGAAGAACCUUACCUGGGCUUGAACCGCUACUGACCAACGGUAGAAAUAUCGUCUUCUCUGCAAGGGACAGUAGUAGAGGUGCUGCAUGGCUGUCGUCAGCUCGUGCCGUGAGGUGUUGGGUUAAGUCCUCGCAACGAGCGCAACCCUUAUUCGUAGUU